This 518-nucleotide ribosomal RNA is filed under the name uncultured Zoogloea sp. RNAcentral describes it as "bacterial SSU rRNA". It matches the Rfam family "Bacterial small subunit ribosomal RNA", at positions 9 to 523 of the family's 1533-position model. Lineage: Bacteria; Pseudomonadati; Pseudomonadota; Betaproteobacteria; Rhodocyclales; Zoogloeaceae. The record is from RNAcentral.
GAGUUUGAUCUUGGCUCAGAUUGAACGGUGGCGGCAUGCGUAACUCAUGCAAGUCGAACGGUCACAGGGAGCCUGCUCCGCUUACGAGUGGCGAACGGGUGAGUAAUGCAUCGGAACGUUCCGUGUAAUGGGGGAUAACGUACAGAAAGUUACGCUACUUCCGCAUACACCCUGAGGGGGAAAGUGGGGUACGACUAGGCCUCGCGUUAUACGAGCGGCCGAUGUGAUCAUGGCUAGUUGGUGGGGUCAAGUCGUCCCAAGGGGGGGCUCCGUAGCCGGUUUGAGAGGAUGAUCCCCCACCCUGGGACAGAGACACGACCCAGACUCGUCCGGGAGGCAGCAGUGGGGAAUGUAGGCCAAUGGGGCCCACCUUGAUCCAGCCAUCCCGCGUGAGUGAAGAAGUCCUUCGGCUUGUAAAGCUCUUUCAGGUGGAAAGAAAUAGCAUCUUUUAAUCCAGGGCGUGGAUGACGCACCAUCAGAAGAAGCACCGGCUAACUAUGUGCCAGCAGCCGCGGUAA